This 57-nucleotide microRNA precursor is filed under the name Heliconius melpomene (postman butterfly). RNAcentral's name for it is "Hme-Mir-276_pre stem-loop". Lineage: Eukaryota; Metazoa; Arthropoda; Insecta; Lepidoptera; Nymphalidae. The record is from RNAcentral.
AGCGAGGUAUAGAGUUCCUACGUAAUAUAGAACUGUAGGAACUUCAUACCGUGCUCU